Xenopus tropicalis (tropical clawed frog) is the source of this 217-nucleotide long non-coding RNA. RefSeq lists it as uncharacterized. The transcript is spliced from 2 exons. Lineage: Eukaryota; Metazoa; Chordata; Amphibia; Anura; Pipidae. The record is from RefSeq and is a predicted model, not a curated record.
GGGGAACUGCCUGCAUGCAGUAAGGAGAGAGCCAGACACAAAAUCGAGCAUCAACAAAUCCAUCCCUGUUUCGGGUUAUAACCGUCCCUUCUCCUGAUUUUGUACCAGCCAAAAUAAAGAAAACCUGGGUGAUGAUUGGACCACUGGAUAACUUGAGAAAAGCAGCUGUGUAAUUUGUGGCCUCAUUCAAAGUCUAAUAGAAAAAAAAUGAUUAUAA